GCCGGGUGCGGUGGCAUGUGCCUGUAAUCCAAGUCACUGGGAGGCUGAGGUUGGUGGAUCAAGUGAGCUGAGGAGCUCUGGGCUGCAGCACACUAUGUUGAACGGGUGUCCACGCUAAGUUCGGUAUCGAUAUGGUGUUCCAGGGGGAGCCCGGGACCACCAGGUUGUCUAAGGAGGGGUGAACCGGCCCAGGUCGGAAACGAAGCAGGUCAAAUCCCCCGUGCUGUCCAGUAGUUGGAUAAUACCUGUGAGUAGAUGCUGCAGUGCAGCCUUGGCGAAACAUCGAGACCUAAUCUUUU
This is an unclassified non-coding RNA of Oncorhynchus kisutch (coho salmon), 299 nucleotides long. It matches the Rfam family "Metazoan signal recognition particle RNA". From Rfam's summary of the family: The signal recognition particle (SRP) is a universally conserved ribonucleoprotein. It is involved in the co-translational targeting of proteins to membranes. NCBI's taxonomy places the organism in Eukaryota, Metazoa, Chordata, Actinopteri, Salmoniformes, Salmonidae. The record is from Ensembl.